Molecule: ribosomal RNA, 468 nt
Filed under: uncultured bacterium
Lineage: Bacteria
Description: partial 16S ribosomal RNA
Rfam family: Bacterial small subunit ribosomal RNA
Source: RNAcentral
GACGAACGCUGGCGGCGUGCUUAACACAUGCAAGUCGAACGGAAAGGCCCUGCUUUUGUGGGGUGCUCGAGUGGCGAACGGGUGAGUAACACGUGAGUAACCUGCCCUUGACUUUGGGAUAACUUCAGGAAACUGGGGCUAAUACCGGAUAGGAGCUCCUGCUGCAUGGUGGGGGUUGGAAAGUUUCGGCGGUUGGGGAUGGACUCGCGGCUUAUCAGCUUGUUGGUGGGGUAGUGGCUUACCAAGGCUUUGACGGGUAGCCGGCCUGAGAGGGUGACCGGCCACAUUGGGACUGAGAUACGGCCCAGACUCCUACGUGAGGCAGCAGUGGGGAAUAUUGCACAAUGGGCGGAAGCCUGAGGCAGCAACGCCGCGUGCGGGAUGACGGCCUUCGGGUUGUAAACCGCUUUCGCCUGUGACGAAGCGUGAGUGACGGUAAUGGGUAAAGAAGCACCGGCUAACUACGUG